This 583-nucleotide ribosomal RNA is filed under the name Streptomyces pratensis. RNAcentral's name for it is "bacterial SSU rRNA". It matches the Rfam family "Bacterial small subunit ribosomal RNA", at positions 279 to 872 of the family's 1533-position model. The record is from RNAcentral. Lineage: Bacteria; Bacillati; Actinomycetota; Actinomycetes; Kitasatosporales; Streptomycetaceae.
ACGGGUAGCCGGCCUGAGAGGGCGACCGGCCACACUGGGACUGAGACACGGCCCAGACUCCUACGGGAGGCAGCAGUGGGGAAUAUUGCACAAUGGGCGAAAGCCUGAUGCAGCGACGCCGCGUGAGGGAUGACGGCCUUCGGGUUGUAAACCUCUUUCAGCAGGGAAGAAGCGAAAGUGACGGUACCUGCAGAAGAAGCGCCGGCUAACUACGUGCCAGCAGCCGCGGUAAUACGUAGGGCGCGAGCGUUGUCCGGAAUUAUUGGGCGUAAAGAGCUCGUAGGCGGCUUGUCGCGUCGGUUGUGAAAGCCCGGGGCUUAACCCCGGGUCUGCAGUCGAUACGGGCAGGCUAGAGUUCGGUAGGGGAGAUCGGAAUUCCUGGUGUAGCGGUGAAAUGCGCAGAUAUCAGGAGGAACACCGGUGGCGAAGGCGGAUCUCUGGGCCGAUACUGACGCUGAGGAGCGAAAGCGUGGGGAGCGAACAGGAUUAGAUACCCUGGUAGUCCACGCCGUAAACGGUGGGCACUAGGUGUGGGCGACAUUCCACGUCGUCCGUGCCGCAGCUAACGCAUUAAGUGCCCCGC